CAGCAGCCGCGGUAAUACAGAGGAUGCAAGCGUUAUCCGGAAUGAUUGGGCGUAAAGCGCACGCAGGCGGUUUGUUAAGUCAGAUGUGAAAUCCCCGGGCUCAACCUGGGAACUGCAUCUGAUACUGGCAAGCUUGAGUCUCGUAGAGGGGGGUAGAAUUCCAGGUGUAGCGGUGAAAUGCGUAGAGAUCUGGAGGAAUACCGGUGGCGAAGGCGGCCCCCUGGACGAAGACUGACGCUCAGGUGCGAAAGCGUGGGGAGCAAACAGGAUUAGAUACCCCGGUAGUCCCUGUCUCUUAUAC
RNAcentral lists this ribosomal RNA (301 nucleotides) under uncultured bacterium. RNAcentral's name for it is "partial 16S ribosomal RNA". It matches the Rfam family "Bacterial small subunit ribosomal RNA", at positions 509 to 807 of the family's 1533-position model. The record is from RNAcentral.